This is a long non-coding RNA of Perognathus longimembris pacificus (Pacific pocket mouse), 131 nucleotides long. RefSeq lists it as uncharacterized. NCBI's taxonomy places the organism in Eukaryota, Metazoa, Chordata, Mammalia, Rodentia, Heteromyidae. The transcript is spliced from 3 exons. The record is from RefSeq and is a predicted model, not a curated record.
UUCUGCCCGACUGGAGCUUUCUAGGUGGAAAGCUAGGGCCAGAUCCUGGGAUGGGCAGUCCUCAGGGAGGGUACAGCAGUGCUCCCAACUGCCCACACAGCAGACAGGGAGUCCAGUGGAAUGUACUGCUG